Non-coding RNA from Aedes albopictus (Asian tiger mosquito), 45 nucleotides. The record is from Rfam. NCBI's taxonomy places the organism in Eukaryota, Metazoa, Arthropoda, Insecta, Diptera, Culicidae.
AAAACGGCCCUUUUCAGGGCUACAAAAAAAAAAAAAAAAAACUCG